RNAcentral lists this long non-coding RNA (6742 nucleotides) under Podarcis lilfordi (Lilford's wall lizard). The record is from RNAcentral. Lineage: Eukaryota; Metazoa; Chordata; Lepidosauria; Squamata; Lacertidae.
AAGGACACACACACCAUUUUGUGGUUCACCUCAGAUGCCAAAAUACCUUGGGCUGGCCCUGGGAAUUUGUGUUACAGUUAAAUAAUAUACUGGAACCAAGCCCCAUGUUUUCUAGCUAGUGGAAGCCCCGCCUUUGCAAUAUUCUCUCAUUUCAAGGAAGAACAAAACAUCUUUCGGCAGUAUCCAUCUUUCACAUCUCCAGGGUGUUCUAUGAAUUUUCUCUUGGAAUUUGAAUACUUUUGUUUCUAUAGCAGCAUUUUAGCAUUACUGGUUUACUUCUGUCUCCUUCAUAAUCACCAAGGAAUUUGAUGUUAAUAUUUGUAUUUGUAUCUCUGUUUUAUCUCUGCUUAGUUCCCAGUUGACACACUGAUAAUCAAAACUGUUAAGGUACUUCCACAGUAGAUAGAAAGUGGAAGCUUGGUACAGAUGUAUUCCAACAGAUUGAUCCUGAUUGCUAGAAAACACCUGAGAACCAGAUACUUUACUCCCUCAAAACUUAAAAUAAGAAGUCUGAAUCAUAACAGUGCCAGUGGUCAAAAUGGAACAAGCCAAAUCACAGAUAGGAUGACAUGUUGCUCUGUGGCAGCAGUUCUCAAACUUCUUUUCCUUGAAAAAUCCUGAGGGUCAAUUAAACUUUUAAAACUAGUUUUGUUCUAUAAAUCAACUCAGAUUCAACUCUUUAACUGAAGAACAGUUCUAUUCUGAACAGCUUUGUUCAACAUUUGCAGGAGUUUCAUUUUUUAAAGCACUGCUCUGCAUGCGUCUCCAGUUGUUAAAAUAAGCUGCAAAGUUGCUUGUGGAGCAGUGUGUUUGCAACACUAUGGCUAUGGAUAUGAAAAUCUGUGUGUGUGUGUGCACGUGCGUGUGCAUGCACGCUCCCACAAUACCCUACUUCAGAUCCUGGAAAAAGGGGACUGGUAUAUUUGCUUUUGUAGUACUCUGGAGUCAGUAUUGUGUUCUCUCAGAGCUUUUUCUGUUUGUAUGUAGUUUAAGAGUUUCAUUAAUUAAAAAAACAUACAAAUAAAAAUACCCUGAUACAAUUUCUAUGCAAUUUUAUGACUCCAUAGCAUAAUCUCUGAUAGAGGAAAUAGCCCUGGCUUUUCAUUCAGAAGUAUAUUUUUUGAUAUGAGCUAGGCAGUACUGGGCUCAAUUUAUUAUUUUAAAACCUGAUCAUUUGUAAAUAUUGCAAACUAUAAACAAUAUUUUAGAUUCACCCUCUUCUUUAAUGCAGCCUUAGAUCUCCCAAUUUCAGUUCUCCGUUACUAACACCUAGGCAUUUUCCUGAUGGGAUAUGCUAAGAAUUGCACACGAAUACAUUUUUGCUUUUUGUUGCCUUGUACUUUUCUCAAUUCAUCUCCAUAGCAUCCUUGGAAAGAAUAGGAAUGAGGGGGUGAUAAAAGUUGCAUAUUGCAUUAAUUUAGCACUAUUCAGAGAAAUGUGCCAGGGACAAGAAUUUGAAGGUGCACGAGCAGACAUGGCUAGAGCCAAGAGUAGUUGUUAGUCUCUAUUUCCUCUCAGCCAGGGGUGCCAACUUGAAUAAAAUAUGGGGUGUGUGUGUUAAGCUGCACAACUUAUAAUUGAUCAUAUGAUGUGAUGCAUGCACACCAUCGGAAUGGCAAUGCUUAUCAGCUUUGGGGGCAGCCCCCUCAAAUAUUUUAUUGGGGGGGCUGAAGACCCCUCAGCCCCUAGGAGUUGGCUCCUAUGCACUCAGCUCACUUUUUUCAUAAUGCCUGGACCAAACAGACAGUAUAAUAGAGGCAACCCCCCUAUUUGGAUUAAGUAAGAGUAGUGGGUAGACAUAUUUCCUACUGUUGCAAGAGUGUCUUUUUCCCCCUUCCCAGGUGGCAUUCCAUUGGGCAUCUGAAAAGAAGGCAUGUGCCAAUAUGUGUGUGUUCUUGUAGCUGGCCCUUUGCCACAAUUGAGUGAUGGCAGCCAAUUCAGCUUUUUUAGGGGGGCUCUGUUUGUUGGGGACUGGAAGUCUCAUUCAGGCUAAUUUUGAAAGGCCUUGUGCUGGAAGAUGGAGAAGACUCUACACACAGUACUAGCUGUGAUGAGCUUCUACAGUUCAAAUGCUCCCAGCAGUUCUAAUUCCUUGAUGCAAUAUUGUGAGGAUGGGUGAAAGUUAGGUGAUUUUGUUCAGGGAAGCAUGCAGGCAUGGAAAUGCUGACUCUCAGUGAUCUUCCAUUCAUUUAGGGUGAAAUAAGAGUAGUUUUGUAUUAAAUUAUGCACAACUAGGCUGUAUGCAGAAAUAGUGAUGGGAUGAAUCACUUAAGCAUGUUUGUGCUAAUUACUGCUUAGCCUUUAUGGUGACAAAAAAACACAAUAGUAGCCUUCUCAGUCUGCAGGAAACUCUUCAGACAAACCCUUUGCAACGUUGCAGAAGUCUUCCAUGAAUCAAAUUAGCUUUGGUUUGUGAAUGUUAAAAGAACCACUGUUUUAGUUUUAGCUGUCUCUCCUCCAAAACAUCCUAACCUGAAACAGACAAAUGCUCAUCGUCACUAGAAAAAGGACAGGAAUUAUUUCCAUUAGAAAACAAACAGGAACUUUUACUACUACCAGUGGACUGUUUUAAGUUGAUCGUUAUGUUGUACAGGUCAACUGAAAUACCACGGUAUUAGUGCAGCACAAUCAAAAGACCCUUGCUCCCAGAUUUGAAGUCUUUGCUUGUCACAUUAUGACAUAAUAUUUACAAAAAGCAGAAUGGGCAAGUACCAGCUUGAAAGCUACACAUUUUCCUUCAGAUGUGUUUUGUGUGUUUCUCAUCAGGGUUUUGUUUUAAACAGAUCACAUGGCCCACAGUUUACCCUGCUGUAUGCUUGUCCAUUUAACAGCUUAUGUUUUGACUAUUGUUCUGAAUGGUAUGUAAGUAGUUAUGUUGGAUUUCUGUAAAAGUGAUUAGAAAAGGAGAUCUAGGACAAACUUGGUCAACUUUUGUAAAGGCUGCCUACUUUUUGACAAGGUGAAUUAGUGCAGCUUUCCUCUCUUCAUGCUUGAUUGCUACAAAGCCCUCCAUUCACUGGACCCCUGUAGGUAAUCUAGUGCCACCUUCAUUUUCACUACUUCCAAAAUCAAUGCUUCUUGGUGGGGGGAAAACUGUUGUCUGAAUUCAUCCCUCACACCAAGGGAUCAGAGCCUGCUAUAAUAGGUAAUUUGAUCAUGAAACUUGCUGUGGUAAACAAGUGCUUAGAAUGGAGUAUGUUGGCUACUUGAACAUCAUAAAAGAUGACAUUUUCAAUCCUUCCCUGAGGUUGCCACCUUAGUAGACCUUGGCAGUUAAGGCUGCCAGCAUUUAAUUUCACUCUUGAUUUGAGUUCAGGCUGUUUUGUUUUCACAAAUGUGUUAUCUGCCUGCUCUAAGACUAAAGUAUUAGGAUGAUGGUGGGGGGGAGAGAAAAAAAAUCGGGGCAUGAGACAAUAAGGUACGUCUCUAAAAAGAUCAGGUUGCCAACUAAUUGAAAUGCUUUUCUAAUACUCUUUAAUGUGUUAAGACAUCUUGAACUUGAAGAAAUCUUUGCCAGGAGGAAGACAUAAUAUAUCCUGAAUAUUUCAGAGAAAUAGCAUUAAGUUAACACCACUAUGUAUAAAUUACAUUUAACACACAGGUUUUUGGGCAUUAACAUACAUGCAUAAUAAUAGGGAAUAAAAAUUGCACUCACAUGUCACGGGGAUCUUAAAAACAUUGAUUAUUACUUCCAAGUAAACAUUGUUAUGAACAAUAGCGACGCUAUAAUCAUCCAAAUACACAAGUGUAUUCUACCCAAGUCAUUUACGAUUUUAAAGGUGAUAAUUGCAUUUCAAAUUGCAUAUAGAAACAGACUGGAAGCCAAUGAAUUAUUUUGUCACUAGCAUCAGAAGGUUAUGAAUCUACUAUUUCCUAAUACUACUUGCUACAGUUGAUGUCUGGUUUUCAUUUGAAAAUGUUGUGCUCUAACUUUUGAAUACUGUUCUGGUCAAAACACACACACAUACAGAGAGAGAGAGAGAGAGAGAGAGAGAGAGAGAGAGAGAGAGAGGCAGGCAGAAAUCUUGAGCUAAUUUAUCAGAAUACAUUGGGUUUGAGUUGGACUGUGUGGUUUCUGCUGAAACAUGAUGCUGUCUUACACUGAGUCAGGUCCCUGGUCUGUUUAGCUUAGUAUUGUCUACACUGACUGGUAGCAACUGUCCAGGAUUUCAGACUGGAGCAUUUUCCAACCCUGCCCUUUUAACAAAAAAAUAGGUAUUAUGAAUCUGUGUUGUUUUUAAUUCAAGUUGAUCAGAGACCUUUGAGUAACUUAACCACUUGUUGUUGUUGUUUAGUCGUUUAGUCAUGUCCGACUCUUCAUGACCCCAUGGACCAGAGCACGCCAGGCACGCCUGUCUUCCACUGCCUCCCGCAGUUUGGUCAGACUCAUGCUGGUAGCUUCGAGAACACUAUCCAACCAUCUUGUCCUCUGUCGUCCCCUUCUCCUUGUGCCCUCAAUCUUUCCCAACACCAGGGUCUUUUCCAGGGAGUCUUCUCUUCUCAUGAAGUGGCCAAAGUAUUGGAGCCUCAGCUUCAGGAUCUGUCCUUCCAGUGAGCACUCAGGGCUGAUUUCCUUAAGAAUGGAUAGGUUUGAUCUUAACCACUAACAAUCCCAAAAACUUAACCACUAACAACCCCAAAAAACACCACCACCACCAUAUACCUGGAGAUGCUGGGAUUUGAAACUGAGAUGUCCUGCAUGCAAAGCAGAUAGUCUACCACUAAGCUAUGAGCCUAUGCUGGAUUUAGCCUUAAACAUUCAGAAUGACAGAAGGCUCUGCUUUGGGACAUGAAAGGUCCCACUUAGCCAGGGCAGGAACACCAUUAUUUUCAUUCAACGUGCCUUGAUGUUUUUCACUUUCACCCUGUAAAGUACAUCUUGCUCUGGCUGCAGUGGUAGCACAGUGAAUCCUUGGUUUUCUUGAAGAGUACAUUUCCAAUACCACCUGGAAUCAAGUUUUAUUAAUCCUUCCUCACCUACCAUCCAAUAUGGUUAUGAGAAGUAAUUAGUUAAUGUUUGUACAGCACUUUGAAGCUGUAAUGCCCUAUUAGGUUCUAGUCUGUGCCUGAUGCACGAGCAGAGCUCCCAUUAAUGUUAAUGGAGGUUACAGGCGCUUCUCAAGCGGAGAAUAUCUGUGUGGAGAAUAAUUAUACUUAUUAGCACAUUUCACAAUAUUAUUUGAUCAGACUUUUGUAAUUUAACUUAAUUGUUUUUCCUUAAAUAUAACUUACUGAAAUUAAACUUAUGGUUAAUUCUGAAUCGUCUAACAUGCAAGAUGCAACCUGCCUGGUAAACUCACAGCGAGGAAGGGAAAAAACCUCAUCCUCCCCCUCCCCCUGAGUCUUCAUGUUUUCAUUGUGCUACUUUUCUGUCCAGAGAAUUGUGCGUUUCCAGAUUAUGCAACCGGCAGGAUACCUUUCUGGCUAAGAAAGCAGGCGUGCAACACCUAGUCCAAAUCAUAUUUGAUUACCACUAAUUAUAGUGCUGUCAUAUAGAAGGGGAGAGCAAGACGGCUGGCUUUGUCAAAUCACAAUGAAAUAACCUGCUGUCUGUCUGCUGACUUAAUAGCUUUAAUUGCCAGUGAAUAAUCAAGAUCUGGUGGAUGUGUUUGAACAUAUCAGCAGGCACCAAAUAUUUCAAUUAAGACCAGGUUGUGUAACUCCUUUUUCUGUGGUUGGAACAGUUCAGAAGAAGUUCUGAAGCUCACAAAGGAGGAACUUGUGAUAGCCGGCUGGGCCUUGAAGGUUUUCUCAUCAAAGCAACAUUCUCUAGGCUAAGCAAUAUUCAGGGAUAUUUUUAAGAUCGGCAAAUCUUGACGCCAGGACCCUUACCUUAGUCCUGUUAGCAUUGCCCACCCCUACUAAUCACAAGGGUGAGAUUUGUGUCUUCCACUUGAUUUUACAUAUUUCGUUGCACAGUUUCAACUCCCAUUAGUCCCCCAUGAAACAAAAUGGAAGAGGUUUAAGCAUAAUUACAACUUGGAACAAAAAAUGUUGGCUGUCUCACCAGAAUUACUGAAAAUUAAAUGUGGCUCUAAAGAGGAGGAUGGUUGUCAGAAAGCCCAACUGACAAUCUUGUGGGGCAACCUUGUUUCCAUUAGGUAACCCCAAUGAAAAAUAUUUGUUUGGUGUAGUGGUAAGAGUGUUGGACCAGGCCUGGGAGAGCAGGGUUCAGAUCCCCAUUGGGCCAUGAAGCUCACUGGGUGACUUUGGGCUAGUCACUAUCUCUCAGCCUAAACUACCUCACAGGGUAGUAAAUAGCAUGGAGGAGUGUGUGCACACCACCUUCAAAUACAAUAAUAAUAUGGGGGGGGCACUGGGUUGCACUUGUGUCCAGAUUCAAAUGCCUUUGAGAAACAACUGCACCCCAACAAACCACUAUUUCUUUUCUCCAGGCAGACUUGACAUUAUGUUCCUUACACCACUGCUGAAAAGCAGGAUUUGUCCUUGAAUAUCUAAACUCUCUCCAUCCUGAUCAAAGCUUCUAUCAAAGAACCUCAUUUCAUCUUUGAAGGCAUUUUUUUCUCAGGGGUUUAAUGGCUAUUUGAUCAAGCCAUUACCAGCUACAGAAGACAUAGAGCAUAUUCUUGUGACACAAUCCCCUUGGCCUCCUGUUCUCUUUCUCUCCCAUCCACUCAGGAUAGAUGCAGCAGCUCAUUCAGAUGCACCCCCCACCACCACCAUAGGAAUUUAAAGAACAUCCUCCUUGUGCAAUUCUUUUAUAUUAUAAUUACCUUUCCUC